GACGAACGCUGGCGGCGUGCUUAACACAUGCAAGUCGAACGGAAAGGCCCUGCUUUUGUGGGGUGCUCGAGUGGCGAACGGGUGAGUAACACGUGAGUAACCUGCCCUUGACUUUGGGAUAACUUCAGGAAACUGGGGCUAAUACCGGAUAGGAGCUCCUGCUGCAUGGUGGGGGUUGGAAAGUUUCGGCGGUUGGGGAUGGACUCGCGGCUUAUCAGCUUGUUGGUGGGGUAGUGGCUUACCAAGGCUUUGACGGGUAGCCGGCCUGAGAGGGUGACCGGCCACAUGGGGACUGAGAUACGGCCCAGACUCCUACGGGAGGCAGCAGUGGGGAAUAUUGCACAAUGGGCGGAAGCAUGAUGCAGCAACGCCGCGUGCGGGAUGACGGCCUUCGGGUUGUAAACCGCUUUCGCCUGUGACGAAGCGUGAGUGACGGUAAUGGGGAAAGAAGCACCGGCUAACUACGU
This 467-nucleotide ribosomal RNA is filed under the name uncultured bacterium. Its description in RNAcentral is "partial 16S ribosomal RNA". It matches the Rfam family "Bacterial small subunit ribosomal RNA", at positions 28 to 506 of the family's 1533-position model. The record is from RNAcentral.